UCCGUAGGCGGAACUAUAAGUCAGAGGUGAAAUCACACAGCUUAACUGUGUAACUGCCUUUGAUACUGUAGAUCUUGAAUUAGGUUGAGGUUAGCGGAAUGUGACAUGUAGCGGUGAAAUGCAUAGAUAUGUCAUAGAACACCAAUUGCGAAGGCAGCUAGCUAGGCCUAUAUUGACGCUGAGGCACGAAAGCGUGGGGAGCGAACAGGAUUAGAUACCCUGGUAGUCC
RNAcentral lists this ribosomal RNA (229 nucleotides) under uncultured bacterium. RNAcentral's name for it is "partial 16S ribosomal RNA". It matches the Rfam family "Bacterial small subunit ribosomal RNA", at positions 568 to 796 of the family's 1533-position model. The record is from RNAcentral.